GUAAUACGGAGGGGGUUAGCGUUGUUCGGAAUUACUGGGCGUAAAGCGCACGUAGGCGGAUUGGAAAGUUGGGGGUGAAAUCCCGGGGCUCAACCCCGGAACUGCCUCCAAAACUAUCAGUCUAGAGUUCGAGAGAGGUGAGUGGAAUUCCAAGUGUAGAGGUGAAAUUCGUAGAUAUUUGGAGGAACACCAGUGGCGAAGGCGGCUCACUGGCUCGAUACUGACGCUGAGGUGCGAAAGUGUGGGGAGCAAACAGGAUUAGAUACCCUGGUAGUCCACACCGUAAACGAUGAAUGCCAGUCGUCGGGCAGUAUACUGUUCGGUGACACACCUAACGGAUUAAGCAUUCCGCCUGGGGAGUACGGUCGCAAGAUUAAAACUCAAAGGAAUUGACGGA
This 397-nucleotide ribosomal RNA is filed under the name uncultured Paracoccaceae bacterium. RNAcentral describes it as "bacterial SSU rRNA". It matches the Rfam family "Bacterial small subunit ribosomal RNA", at positions 520 to 917 of the family's 1533-position model. The record is from RNAcentral. Lineage: Bacteria; Pseudomonadati; Pseudomonadota; Alphaproteobacteria; Rhodobacterales; Paracoccaceae.